GAAAAUAAUUGCGGAGCGAAAAUAAUGUGAAUUAAAUUGGUCCGUCGUGCGGUAGUAGUAAUGGUAACGCUGCUAGGCCACGCGGAAUCUUAAACAGCCGUUGCCCAUUACCCGUUACCCACCCGUUGUGUAUUCCAUUAAUGCCGCACGCGCGCUCUGUCUCUCUUACUCUCUCGCCGUUGUAGACUUGAGAGUUUUGUGCGUUCGGCUGUUGGUCCAGCAGCUCAAACAAACGUCGGCUUUUUAAGCAUCCUCGGCUGCUGCUGCUGACUGCUGCUGUCGCAGUAAAUAGAAUCCGAAACUGGAAACAGAAACAGAAACGAAGCCAGCGCCAAUGCACGCACGGGGCUACAACACAGCAGCAGCAGCAGCAGCGGCGCAUCGGCUAACGGCAAACGGUAAAAACGGGCUGCUGUGUCUUGGUUCUUUCAUCGCUCAGUUUAGUUACGCGCAAGAUUUCAACACAAAUUGUUGUAGCAUACUUUACGGUUGCGGACGGCGCUAGAGCCUAUGAAAAUGUGAAGCUACAUAACAACAACAACAACAACAACAACAACAAGAGAAGCAGCAGCGAAAUCAAAACACCAACAACAACAAUGACAUAAAUAAUAAUGUUAAUAUAUAAACAGAUCAUAAUAAUAACAAGAAAACAAUAUUAAUAAGAGUCAAAACGCACAACUCGCAUCAAAGAAUAUCUACGGAAAGCUCUUCAAAAUAUUCGACGAAAAAGCAAACACCAAAAAAAAACCAAAAAAAAAGAAAAACGAAACGAAACGCACAAAACUAAGUUUAACAACGCAUUAUCCUAGGUGUCUUACAACAAUACGCACAACCCCAAAACGCCAAAAUUGAAAAGUUUAAGGAGUAGUUAAAAUACAAAAUAUAUAAAAAAAUUAGUAAUACUUAGCGCAAGUAGCAAUUUAAAACAAUUUAGAUAAAUUCAUGAAAAAAACAUGAGCGAUGCAAACAAAUUGAAAGUGGAAAAAUGUUAACAACAAUUGAGGGAGACAAAGAAUUCGAAGCGAUAGCGAGUUGAUUGUGUCUGCCACCUCAAUAGGUCUCAGGACAGGAGAAUCGAGGCAAGCGAGACACGCGAGGGGAAAGUCGCCGCGCUGCGCAAUGCAAGCGAACAGCAGCCGAUCCACGUUAAGCGCACAAUCCUCGGGGCACACCGUCGGCCUCAACGAUAUCCUCGUCGCAGGGAAAGCAACAAGUUGUCGAACUAUCUGGAUAUGUCAUCAUACUCGUUGAGAAUGCGGAGGGCAAGAUUAAAUUAUAUGGCUCGCCGUCCGAUCGCGAUA
Molecule: long non-coding RNA, 1301 nt
Organism: Drosophila nasuta
Lineage: Eukaryota; Metazoa; Arthropoda; Insecta; Diptera; Drosophilidae
Exons: 4
Source: RefSeq, a predicted model, not a curated record